Molecule: ribosomal RNA, 1372 nt
Filed under: uncultured bacterium
Lineage: Bacteria
Description: bacterial SSU rRNA
Rfam family: Bacterial small subunit ribosomal RNA
Source: RNAcentral
GAUGAACGCUGGCGGCGUGCCUAAUACAUGCAAGUCGAGCGAACGGACGAGAAGCUUGCUUCUCUGAUGUUAGCGGCGGACGGGUGAGUAACACGUGGAUAACCUACCUAUAAGACUGGGAUAACUUCGGGAAACCGGAGCUAAUACCGGAUAAUAUUUUGAACCGCAUGGUUCAAAAGUGAAAGACGGUCUUGCUGUCACUUAUAGAUGGAUCCGCGCUGCAUUAGCUAGUUGGUAAGGUAACGGCUUACCAAGGCAACGAUGCAUAGCCGACCCAAGAGGGUGAUCGGCCACACUGGAACUGAGACACGGUCCAGACUCCUACGGGAGGCAGCAGUAGGGAAUCUUCCGCAAUGGGCGAAAGCCUGACGGAGCAACGCCGCGUGAGUGAUGAAGGUCUUCGGAUCGUAAAACUCUGUUAUUAGGGAAGAACAUAUGUGUAAGUAACUGUGCACACCUUGACGGUACCUAAUCAGAAAGCCACGGCUAACUACGUGCCAGCAGCCGCGGUAAUACGUAGGUGGCAAGCGUUAUCCGGAAUUAUUGGGCGUAAAGCGCGCGUAGGCGGUUUUUUAAGUCUGAUGUGAAAGCCCACGGCUCAACCGUGGAGGGUCAUUGGAAACUGGAAAACUUGAGUGCAGAAGAGGAAAGUGGAAUUCCAUGUGUAGCGGUGAAAUGCGCAGAGAUAUGGAGGAACACCAGUGGCGAAGGCGACUUUCUGGUCUGUAACUGACGCUGAUGUGCGAAAGCGUGGGGAUCAAACAGGAUUAGAUACCCUGGUAGUCCACGCCGUAAACGAUGAGUGCUAAGUGUUAGGGGGUUUCCGCCCCUUAGUGCUGCAGCUAACGCAUUAAGCACUCCGCCUGGGGAGUACGACCGCAAGGUUGAAACUCAAAGGAAUUGACGGGGACCCGCACAAGCGGUGGAGCAUGUGGUUUAAUUCGAAGCAACGCGAAGAACCUUACCAAAUCUUGACAUCCUUUGACAACUCUAGAGAUAGAGCCUUCCUCUUCGGGGGACAAAGUGACAGGUGGUGCAUGGUUGUCGUCAGCUCGUGUCGUGAGAUGUUGGGUUAAGUCCCGCAACGAGCGCAACCCUUAAGCUUAGUUGCCAUCAUUAAGUUGGGCACUCUAAGUUGACUGCCGGUGACAAACCGGAGGAAGGUGGGGAUGACGUCAAAUCAUCAUGCCCCUUAUGAUUUGGGCUACACACGUGCUACAAUGGACAAUACAAAGGGCAGCGAAACCGCGAGGUCAAGCAAAUCCCAUAAAGUUGUUCUCAGUUCGGAUUGUAGUCUGCAACUCGACUACAUGAAGCUGGAAUCGCUAGUAAUCGUAGAUCAGCAUGCUACGGUGAAUACGUUCCCGGGUCU